GAUGAAGAACGUAGUGAAAUGCGAUAAGUAAUGUGAAUUGCAGAAUUCAGUGAAUCAUCGAAUCUUUGAACGCACAUUGCGCCCGCCAGUAUUCUGGCGGGCAUGCCUGUCCGAGCGUCAUUUCAACCCUCGAACCCCUCCGGGGGGUCGGCGUUGGGGAUCGGCCCCUCACCGGGCCGCCCCCGAAAUCCAGUGGCGGUCUCGCCGCAGCCUCUCCUGCGCAGUAGUUUGCACACUCGCACCGGGAGCGCGGCGCGGCCACAGCCGUAAAACACCCCAAACUCUGAAAUGUUGACCUCGGAUCAGGUAGGAAUACCCGCUGAACUUAAGCAUAUCAAUAAGCGGAGGA
RNAcentral lists this unclassified non-coding RNA (349 nucleotides) under soil metagenome. Its description in RNAcentral is "partial contains 5.8S ribosomal RNA, internal transcribed spacer 2, and large subunit ribosomal RNA". The stretch from base 1 to 120 matches the Rfam family "5.8S ribosomal RNA", at positions 35 to 154 of the family's 154-position model. The record is from RNAcentral.